Molecule: ribosomal RNA, 1513 nt
Filed under: metagenome
Description: bacterial SSU rRNA
Rfam family: Bacterial small subunit ribosomal RNA
Source: RNAcentral
AGAAUUUGAUCUUGGUUCAGAUUGAAUGCUGACGGCGUGGAUGAGGCAUGCAAGUCGAACGGAGUUAAUCGGAGCUUGCUCUGAUUAACUUAGUGGCGGAAGGGUUAGUAAUACAUGGAUAACCUACCCUUUACUCGGGAAUAACAGUUGGAAACGACUGCUAAUACCGGAUGAGGCGCUCCAAGGCAUCUUGGGGACGUCAAAGCGGGGGAUCUUCGGACCUCGCGGUAAAGGAAGGGUCCAUGGGAUAUCAGCUUGUUGGUGAGGUAAAAGCUCACCAAGGCUAAGACGUCUAGGCGGGUUGAGAGAUUGACCGCCAACACUGGGACUGAAACACUGCCCAGACUCCUACGGGAGGCUGCAGUCGAGAAUCAUUCACAAUGGGCGAAAGCCUGAUGAUGCGACGCCGUGUGAGCGAUGAAGGCCUUAGGGUUGUAAAGCUCUUUCGCAUGGGAAUAAGGGAGCCUGGUUAAUAACCGAGUAACUUGAAGGUACCAUGUAAAGAAGCACCGGCUAACUCCGUGCCAGCAGCUGCGGUGAUACGGAGGGUGCGAGCAUUAAUCGGAUUUAUUGGGCGUAAAGGGCGCGUAGGCGGGCUAGUAAGUCAGAUGUGAAAGCCCAGGGCUCAACCCUGGAAUUGCAUUUGAAACUACUAGUCUUGAGGGUAGGCGGAGAUGACGGAAUUCCACGUGUAGCGGUGAAAUGCGUAGAUAUGUGGAAGAACACCGGUGGCGAAGGCGGUCAUCUAGCUUAUUCCUGACGCUGAGGCGCGAAAGCAAGGGGAGCAAACAGGAUUAGAUACCCUGGUAGUCCUUGCCGUAAACGAUGCAUACUUGGUGUAGUGGGAAUCAGCCCCCAUUUUGCCGAAGCUAACGCGAUAAGUAUGCCGCCUGGGGAGUACGCUCGCAAGGGUGAAACUCAAAAGAAUUGACGGGGACCCGCACAAGCAGUGGAGCAUGUGGUUUAAUUCGAUGCAACGCGAAGAACCUUACCCAGACUUGACAUAUACUUGACCGCCGCAGAAAUGCGGUUUCUCCAUGAGCAGGUAUACAGGUGCUGCAUGGCUGUCGUCAGCUCGUGCCGUGAGGUGUUGGGUUAAGUCCCGCAACGAGCGCAACCCUUAUCGUUAGUUGCCAACAGGUAAUGCUGGGAACUCUAACGAGACUGCCUGGGUUAACCAGGAGGAAGGUGAGGAUGACGUCAAGUCAGCAUGGCCCUUAUGUCUGGGGCUACACACGUGCUACAAUGGCCGGUACAGAAGGCCGCGAAGCCGCGAGGUGGAGCAAAUCUUUAAAACCGGUCCCAGUUCGGACUGGAGUCUGCAACUCGACUCCAUGAAGUUGGAAUUGCUAGUAACGGCGGGUCAGCUACACCGCCGUGAAUACGUUCCCGGGUCUUGUACACACCGCCCGUCACAUCAUGGGAGUUGGUCCCACCCGAAGUCGCUGACUCAACCGCAAGGGGAGAGGCGCCGAAGGUGAGGCCGAUAACUGGAAUGAAGUCGAACAAGGUA